GCCAGGUGUGGUGGCUCACGCCUGUAAUCCCAGCACUUUGGGAGGCCGAGGCGGGAGGAUCACCUGAGGUCAGGAGUUCGAGACCAGCCUGGCCAAGAUGGUGAAACCCCGUCUCUA
Molecule: non-coding RNA, 117 nt
Filed under: Homo sapiens (human)
Lineage: Eukaryota; Metazoa; Chordata; Mammalia; Primates; Hominidae
Source: Rfam by way of RNAcentral